UAGUGUAGCGGUUAUCACGCCUGCCUGUCACGCAGGAGAUCGCGGGUUCGAUUCCCG
Molecule: transfer RNA, 57 nt
Filed under: Heyndrickxia coagulans
Lineage: Bacteria; Bacillati; Bacillota; Bacilli; Caryophanales; Bacillaceae
Description: Bacillus coagulans tRNA-Asp
Rfam family: tRNA
About the family: Transfer RNA (tRNA) molecules are approximately 80 nucleotides in length. Their secondary structure includes four short double-helical elements and three loops (D, anti-codon, and T loops).
Source: RNAcentral